CGUGGGUAACCUGCCUUAUAGUGGGGGAGUAGCCUUUCGAAAGGAAGAUUAAUACCGCAUAAGAUUGUAGUAUCGCAUGAUAUAGCAAUUAAAGGAGCAAUUCGCUAUAAAGAUGGACCCGCGUCGCAUUAGCUAGUUGGUGAGGUAAUGGCUCACCAAGGCGACGAUGCGUAGCCGACCUGAGAGGGUGAUCGGCCACAUUGGGACUGAGACACGGCCCAGACUCCUACGGGAGGCAGCAUG
This 243-nucleotide ribosomal RNA is filed under the name uncultured bacterium. RNAcentral's name for it is "partial 16S ribosomal RNA". It matches the Rfam family "Bacterial small subunit ribosomal RNA", at positions 116 to 353 of the family's 1533-position model. The record is from RNAcentral.